GACGAACGCUGGCGGCGUGCCUCAUACAUGCAAGUCGAACGCGAAAGUCGCCUUCGGGUGGCGAGUAGAGUGGCGAACGGGUGAGUAACACGUGGGUAAUCUGCCCUCAAGUUGUGGGAUAACCACUGGAAACGGUGGCUAAUACCCCUGCGGAUUCGGUUUUCUUUAGAAGGCCGAAUGAAAGGUGCUUUCCCUUCGGGGAUUGUAUCGCUCGAGGAGGAGCCCGCGGUCCAUUAGUUUGUUGGUGGGGUAAUGGCCUACCAAGGCUGCGAUGGAUAGCUGGUCUGAGAGGAUGAUCAGUCACACUGGGACUGAAAUACGGCCCAGACUCCUACGGGAGGCAGCAGUAGGGAAUUUUGGGCAAUGGGGGAAACCCUGACCCAGCAACGCCGCGUGAGUGAAGAUGGCCCUCGGGUCGUAAAGCUCUGUCAGGUGGGAAGAAUAAAGGCCGGGUAACGCCGGUCCUUGACCACCACCAAAGGAAGCACCGGCUAACUCCGUGCCAGCAGCCGCGGUAAUACGGAGGGUGCAAGCGUUGUCCGGAAUUAUUGGGCGUAAAGGGCGUGUAGGCGGCCCGGUAAGUCUGAUGUGAAAGCCCUCGGCUCAACCGAGGAAGUGCAUUGGAAACUGUCGGGCUUGAGUGCGGGAGAGGAAGGUGGAAUUCCCAGUGUAGCGGUGAAAUGCGUAGAUAUUGGGAGGAACAUCUGUGGCGAAGGCGGCCUUCUGGACCGUCACUGACGCUGAGACGCGAAAGCGUGGGGAGCAAACAGGAUUAGAUACCCUGGUAGUCCACGCUGUAAACGGUGAGCACUAGGUGUCGGGAGUAUCGACCCUUCCGGUGCCGGAGCUAACGUUUUAAGUCCGCCGCCUGGGGAGUACGGCCGCAAGGCUAAAACUCAAAGGAAUUGACGGGGGCUCACACAAGCGGUGGAGCAUGUGGAUUAAUUCGAAGCAACGCGCAGAACCUUACCUGGGUUUGACAUGUGCGGAUGCCCUCUUGGAAACAGGAGUAAGCUGCCUUCGGGUGAAACGUACACAGGUGCUGCAUGGCUGUCGUCAGCUCGUGCUGUGAAGUGUCAGGUUAAGUCCCUCAACGAGCGAAACCCCUAUCGUUAGUUGCCAGCGGGUCAUGCCGGGGACUCUAGCGAGACCGCCGGCGUCAAGCCGGAGGAAGGUGGGGAUGACGUCAAGUCAUCAUGGCCCUUAUGCCCAGGGUGUCACACGUGCUACAAUGGUCGGUACAGAGCGACGCGAGACCGAGAGGUGGAGCAAAUCGCAGAAAGCCGGCCCCAGUUCGGAUUGGAGUCUGCAACUCGACUCCAUGAAGUUGGAAUCGCUAGUAAUCGCGUAUCAGCCACGACGCGGUGAAUGUGUUCCUGAGCCUUGUACACACCGCCCGUCAAGUCAUGGAAGCCGGGAGUAUCCGAAGUCCGUUUAGCUAACCGCAAGGGAGCGGCGGCCGACGGUAAGACUGGUGACUGGGACU
Molecule: ribosomal RNA, 1486 nt
Filed under: uncultured bacterium
Lineage: Bacteria
Description: bacterial SSU rRNA
Rfam family: Bacterial small subunit ribosomal RNA
Source: RNAcentral